AUACAUCUGACGAGUCCCAAAUAGAACGAAACGCGCAUCCUGAAU
Non-coding RNA from Schistosoma haematobium, 45 nucleotides. Lineage: Eukaryota; Metazoa; Platyhelminthes; Trematoda; Strigeidida; Schistosomatidae. The record is from Rfam.